Molecule: long non-coding RNA, 702 nt
Filed under: Anas platyrhynchos platyrhynchos (common mallard)
Lineage: Eukaryota; Metazoa; Chordata; Aves; Anseriformes; Anatidae
Description: lncRNA (ENSAPLG00000021229.1)
Source: RNAcentral
GGGAGAACGGGGCGGGGGGGCGCCUACGGGUGCGUCCUGCGUUGCAACGGUGCUCCUGUGGGGGGUGCACGGCGCUGCAGGCGUGCACGGCAUUGCAAGGGUGCACGGUGUUGCAAGGGUGCACGCGUGGGGGGGGCAUGGUAUUGCAAGGGUGCACCCAGGGGGGUGCACGGUGUUGCAAGGGUGCAUCUAUGGGGGUGCACGGCACUGCAAGGGUGCACGAGUGGAGAUGGGGGCGUUGCAAAGCAUGCCCGACAUUGCAAGGGUGCACCCAGGGGGGUGCACAGCAUUGCAAGGGGUGCACAGCAUUGCAAGGGUGCACCCAUAGGGGUGCGCGGCAUUGCAAGGGUGCACGAAUGGAGAUGCAGGGCGUUGCAAAGCACGCCCAGCAUUGCAAGGGUGCACAUAUUUGGGGCAUUAAAUGAAUUAAGGGUGCAGCCACGGGGGUGCACAGCGUUGCAAAGGGUGCACGGCGUUGCAAGGGUGCACCCAGGGGGUUGCACGGCGUUGCAAGGGUGCACGAAUGGAAUUCCACCUACUUGCAAAGGGUGCUCGGCCUUGCAAGGGUGCAUCUAGGGGGGGUGCCCAGCAUUGCAAGGGUGCACCUCGGGGGGUGCCCGGCAUUGCAGCAGUGCCGUGCACGCCCUCGGGGCCGUGGCGGCUGCAGCGCCUGCAGCUCAGUGGCUGCAAAGCGGUGCAGUG